Molecule: ribosomal RNA, 495 nt
Filed under: uncultured bacterium
Lineage: Bacteria
Description: partial 16S ribosomal RNA
Rfam family: Bacterial small subunit ribosomal RNA
Source: RNAcentral
GACGAACGCUGGCGGCGUGCCUAAUACAUGCAAGUAGAACGCUGAAGGAGGAGCUUGCUUCUCUGGAUGAGUUGCGAACGGGUGAGUAACGCGUAGGUAACCUGCCUGGUAGCGGGGGAUAACUAUUGGAAACGAUAGCUAAUACCGCAUAAGAGUAGAUGUCGCAUGACAUUUGCUUAAAGGGUGCAAUUGCAUCACUACCAGAUGGACCUGCGUUGUAUUAGUUAGUUGGUGAGGUAACGGCUCACCAAGGCAACGAUACAUAGCCGACCUGAGAGGGGGAUCGGCCACACUGGGACGGAGACACGGCCCAGACUCCUACGGGAGGCAGCAGUAGGGAAUCUUCGGCAAUGGACGGAAGGCUGACCGAGCAACGCCGCGUGAGUGAAGAAGGGUUUCGGAUCGUAAAGCUCUGUUGUAAGAGAAGAACGAGUGUGAGAGUGGAAAGUUCACACUGUGACGGUAUCUUACCAGAAAGGGACGGCUAACUACGUG